RNAcentral lists this ribosomal RNA (253 nucleotides) under uncultured bacterium. RNAcentral describes it as "partial 16S ribosomal RNA". It matches the Rfam family "Bacterial small subunit ribosomal RNA", at positions 524 to 776 of the family's 1533-position model. The record is from RNAcentral.
UACAGAGGUCCCAAGCGUUGUUCGGAUUCAUUGGGCGUAAAGGGUGCGUAGGUGGCGCCGUAAGUCGGGUGUGAAAUUUCGGAGCUUAACUCCGAAACUGCAUUCGAUACUGCGGUGCUUGAGGACUGGAGAGGAGACUGGAAUUCAUGGUGUAGCAGUGAAAUGCGUAGAGAUCAUGAGGAAGACCAGUGGCGAAGGCGGGUCUCUGGACAGUUCCUGACACUGAGGCACGAAGGCCGGGGGAGCAAACGGG